This 484-nucleotide ribosomal RNA is filed under the name uncultured bacterium. Its description in RNAcentral is "partial 16S ribosomal RNA". It matches the Rfam family "Bacterial small subunit ribosomal RNA", at positions 30 to 507 of the family's 1533-position model. The record is from RNAcentral.
AUUGAACGCUGGCGGCAGGCCUAACACAUGCAAGUCGAGCGGCUGCACGGAGCUUGCUCCUGGAUUCAGCGGCGGACGGGUGGGUGAGUCCUAGGAAUCUGCCUGUUAGCGGGGGAUAGCGUCCGGAAACGGGCGCUCAUACCGCAUACGUCCUGACGGCGUACGGGGGGAAUCAUCGGACCUUACGCCAUCACAUGAUCCGAGGUCGGAUUAGCUAGUUGGGGGGGUAAAGGCCUACCAAGGCGACGAUCCGUAACUGGUCUGAGAGGAUGAUCAGCCACACUGGAACUGAGACACGGUCCAGACUCCUACGGGAGGCAGCAGUGGGGAAUAUUGGACAAUGGGCGAAAGCCUGAUCCAGCCAUGCCGCGUGUGUGAAGAAGGUCUUCGGAUUGUAAAGCACUUUAAGUGGGGAGGAAAAGCAGUAAGUUAAUACCUCGCUGUUUUGACGGUACCAAAAGAAUAAGCACCGGCUAACUUCGUG